RNAcentral lists this transfer RNA (77 nucleotides) under Chitinophagaceae bacterium. RNAcentral describes it as "tRNA-Pro". It matches the Rfam family "tRNA". Rfam says of the family: Transfer RNA (tRNA) molecules are approximately 80 nucleotides in length. Their secondary structure includes four short double-helical elements and three loops (D, anti-codon, and T loops). Further hydrogen bonds mediate the characteristic L-shaped molecular structure. tRNAs have two regions of fundamental functional importance: the anti-codon, which is responsible for specific mRNA codon recognition, and the 3' end, to which the tRNAs corresponding amino acid is attached (by aminoacyl-tRNA synthetases). tRNAs cope with the degeneracy of the genetic code in two manners: having more than one tRNA (with a specific anti-codon) for a particular amino acid; and 'wobble' base-pairing, i.e. permitting non-standard base-pairing at the 3rd anti-codon position. RNAcentral also lists the same sequence under 3 other names. Lineage: Bacteria; Pseudomonadati; Bacteroidota; Chitinophagia; Chitinophagales; Chitinophagaceae. The record is from RNAcentral.
CGGGACGUAGCGCAGCCCGGUAGCGCGUUUGCAUGGGGUGCAAGAGGCCGCUGGUUCGAAUCCAGUCGUCCCGACCA